GAUGAACGCUAGCGAUAGGCUUAACACAUGCAAGUCGAGGGCAGCAUUAUUUUAGCUUGCUAAGAUAGAUGGCGACCGGCGCACGGGUGCGUAACGCGUAUGCAACCUGCCUGUAAUUAGGGAAUAACCCGGUGAAAGUCGGACUAAUACCCUAUAUUCUUCUUUUUCCGCAUGGAGAAGGACGGAAAGAUUUAUUGAUUACAGAUGGGCAUGCGUCCCAUUAGCUCGUUGGUAAGGUAACGGCUUACCAAGGCAACGAUGGGUAGGGGGACUGAGAGGUUGACCCCCCACACUGGUACUGAGACACGGACCAGACUCCUACGGGAGGCAGCAGUGAGGAAUAUUGGUCAAUGGGCGAGAGCCUGAACCAGCCAAGUCGCGUGAAGGACGACGGUUCUAUGGAUUGUAAACUUCUUUUGUAGAGGAAUAAUGGCAGCUACGCGUAGCUGAGAUGCAUGUACUCUACGAAUAAGUAUCGG
RNAcentral lists this ribosomal RNA (479 nucleotides) under Porphyromonas endodontalis. RNAcentral's name for it is "bacterial SSU rRNA". It matches the Rfam family "Bacterial small subunit ribosomal RNA", at positions 28 to 496 of the family's 1533-position model. The record is from RNAcentral. Lineage: Bacteria; Pseudomonadati; Bacteroidota; Bacteroidia; Bacteroidales; Porphyromonadaceae.